RNAcentral lists this ribosomal RNA (444 nucleotides) under Citrobacter freundii. Its description in RNAcentral is "partial 16S ribosomal RNA". It matches the Rfam family "Bacterial small subunit ribosomal RNA", at positions 659 to 1102 of the family's 1533-position model. The record is from RNAcentral. RNAcentral also lists the same sequence under 1 other name. Lineage: Bacteria; Pseudomonadati; Pseudomonadota; Gammaproteobacteria; Enterobacterales; Enterobacteriaceae.
GGGUAGAAUUCCAGGUGUAGCGGUGAAAUGCGUAGAGAUCUGGAGGAAUACCGGUGGCGAAGGCGGCCCCCUGGACAAAGACUGACGCUCAGGUGCGAAAGCGUGGGGAGCAAACAGGAUUAGAUACCCUGGUAGUCCACGCCGUAAACGAUGUCGACUUGGAGGUUGUGCCCUUGAGGCGUGGCUUCCGGAGCUAACGCGUUAAGUCGACCGCCUGGGGAGUACGGCCGCAAGGUUAAAACUCAAAUGAAUUGACGGGGGCCCGCACAAGCGGUGGAGCAUGUGGUUUAAUUCGAUGCAACGCGAAGAACCUUACCUACUCUUGACAUCCAGAGAACUUAGCAGAGAUGCUUUGGUGCCUUCGGGAACUCUGAGACAGGUGCUGCAUGGCUGUCGUCAGCUCGUGUUGUGAAAUGUUGGGUUAAGUCCCGCAACGAGCGCAAC